Molecule: ribosomal RNA, 340 nt
Filed under: Tachina grossa
Lineage: Eukaryota; Metazoa; Arthropoda; Insecta; Diptera; Tachinidae
Description: partial 16S ribosomal RNA
Source: RNAcentral
CUUUUAAUUGAAGGCUUGUAUGAAUGGUUGGACGAGAUAUUAACUGUUUCAUUUUAAUUUUUUUUAGAAUUUAAUUUUUUAGUAAAAAAGCUAAAAUUUAUUUAAAAGACGAGAAGACCCUAUAAAUCUUUAUAUUAGAUUUAUUAUUAUUAUUUAGAUUUAUUUUAUUAUAAUAAUUAAUAAUAUUUUAUUGGGGUGAUAUUAAAAUUUAUCUAACUUUUAAUAUUUUAUUUCAUUAAUUUAUGAAUAAAUGAUCCGUUUUUAACGAUUAAAAAUAUAAGUUACUUUAGGGAUAACAGCGUAAUUUUUUUGGAGAGUUCUUAUCGAUAAAAAAGAUUGC